AGCUGAUGGAGCACGCCGCGUGUGUGAUGAAGGGUUUCGGCUCGUAAAACACUGUUGUAAGAGAAGAAUGACAUUGAGAGUAACUGUUCAAUGUGUGACGGUAUCUUACCAGAAAGGAACGGCUAAAUACGUGCCAGCAGCCGCGGUAAU
This 150-nucleotide ribosomal RNA is filed under the name uncultured bacterium. RNAcentral's name for it is "partial 16S ribosomal RNA". It matches the Rfam family "Bacterial small subunit ribosomal RNA", at positions 381 to 524 of the family's 1533-position model. The record is from RNAcentral.